CUCGCCCGUGGCAGGCCCGCUGUGUCUGUGGGCUGGCUGCGCACGUGGCUCGCUGUCCCGCCGCAAGGACCGCCCGCGAGAGCUGCUAGGGGCCGGCUCGUCCCCUCGGCAGAACGGCAGUGACCCGGGGCAGGGCGCCCUGUCCCGAAGCACCUCGUGGUGCACACGGUCCGAAGCGCCCUGGCCUCUCCUGCUCGGGGCGCACGCUGGAAAGCCUUUCCCCUCUGUGAGGAGGGGCCUGCCUAUCCCAGAAGCGUUCCGAGGCUCUCCUGGGGAUGCUUCCAGCCCCUCCUUCCCUGGCGCAGCGUGGACCUUCCUUUCUCUGACCAUGCGAGGCACUGGCCCCUCAGCGCCGGGCAGACAGAGCUCGGCUUCCCUCUGAAACGACUCCAGGUCUGAGAAGACGUUUCCCGGGAAGCCCGCAGCCUGGUGCGUAUCCCGCAGCAGCACGAGGCCGCUCUCGGCACUGCCGCGUCCUGGGCGCGCCUGCUUCUGCCUAAAUCCAGCACCCGGGAAGACAGGGCUCUGGCAACGUGAUGGAGGAGCUGCUCUUCUGGGCGUCCAGAAUGCAGGUUACCAGCACCGCAGACGGACACCACGUCUACCUCCACCCUCACCCGGGUGUGGGAGGCGGGAAGGAGCCCCACUGGCCACACCAAGAGGCCUUGUGUGUGUGGCCCUCGGGUCCAUAAGCCUGGGUGCUCUAGGAUGUCAGUGACCUUCACGGCAGUGAGCUCAGAAUCACCAGCCCCUUCCUCCUACCUCCACCCAGGGACCCCUUGACUUGAAAACUUCUCAUGUGGGCCUCCCCGAGCUUGGCCAGCUGGCUGUGAGGCUCCGGGGUUUCAGCCCAAUCAUCAAACGUAAAUACAGAGCCCUGUGGGUCCUCUCAGUGAACACCACUCCCCAAAAAAGCAAGGCGGGGGCCCUGCCAAUUUAGUUAGGAGGAAGACUGCAGUUUAGUUUAGCUUUGUUGUAUCUGGCUUUUUGGUCACAGGCCCAGUUAUCACCUUCCAGAAUCUUCCUCCCCCUAAACUGCAGCUGAGUUCUGAGGUUCACAAGUUCUCAGGGAAACCAACACUGGCUAUGAAGACCUGAAAGUUUUUUUUUUUUUCUUUCAUUAAGUAAUCUCUUUAAUGUCUGUUUAUGGUCAGGCGCAGUCUGUAGCUUCACAUAGCAAUGUCUGAUUAAACGAUGCCCAAUCUAUCCUGGGGCAAUAGACAGAUAA
This is a long non-coding RNA of Chinchilla lanigera (long-tailed chinchilla), 1228 nucleotides long. RefSeq lists it as uncharacterized. Lineage: Eukaryota; Metazoa; Chordata; Mammalia; Rodentia; Chinchillidae. The record is from RefSeq and is a predicted model, not a curated record. The transcript is spliced from 2 exons.